RNAcentral lists this long non-coding RNA (2919 nucleotides) under Carica papaya (papaya). RNAcentral describes it as "long non-coding RNA (CPAP_LNC001439)". Lineage: Eukaryota; Viridiplantae; Streptophyta; Magnoliopsida; Brassicales; Caricaceae. The record is from RNAcentral.
ACUUUUAGUAAACAUAUGCUUAUAAUACUUUAAAUGUAUCAUUAAAAUUAAGUCAGAGAGACAUCAACAAAAUUGAUGCAAAUAAUAGUAUAAUAACUUUAAAAAAUAAUAGUAUGUUACUUACUGAACCAUUAAAAACAAAUGUAUAUUAUGACAUAGGAAGCUACUUACCUUGUAGUGGCCCCAACUUCAUUAUCCUUAAUUUAAAGGAACAACUCGUGAAAAUCUCAAAUUUUUUCUUUCGGGUUAUGACUAUCUUUUUCUCUUUCUUUCUCUUAGCUUUGGCUCUUUUUUUCUCUUCGCUUUCUCUAGCUUUGGCUAUCUUUUUCUCUUAUAUUUCUCUUGGCUUUGGCUCUUUUUUUUUUUCUGCCUUUAUUUUUUUCUAUGGUUUUACCUUGUUCUUUUCCAAAACUUGUCUUGGCUAUUUAUAGUGCUUGUGAACACUCCAAAAACCAACACUUAAUUGCAAGGUGUCAUAAAGUUUUUCCAAAGGAAGACAUCUAGCUAUCAAGGUGUAACACAUGUGACCAAAGAAAGACACCUAGCCUCAAGGUGUCACGUAUUCAACUAAGGGAACCACAAGGUGUCACAUUUCCAUCCAAACGAUGACACUUAGCCAUCAAGGUGUCCUAAAUUCAUCUAAGUGAUGACACCUAACCAUUAAGAUGUUCUAAAGUGAUUUAAGUGAUGACACCUAGCCAUUAAGGUGUCCUCAAUUCAUCCAAGUAAUGAUACCUAGACAUUAAGAUGUCCUAAAUUCAUCCAAGUGAUGACACCUAGUCAUUAUGGUGUCCUAAUUUUAUCAAAAUGAUGACAUCUAGUCCUUAAGGUGUCACAUAUUUUGAUUAAGGAGAAAUUUAGCCAUGUCAAGUCCUACAUGGUCGAGAUAAAUUUUCUCACUCGAGGGAAAAUUUCUUCCACCUGUGGGAUAUAUCUCUCAUUCUUCAACUCUUCCAUAUGCAUGUUGUGGUAACCCGAAUCCUAAGUUGCAUGAUUAAAUAUUUUAAAAUAAAUAUUGCAUCAUUUUAAUGAAAUUUAAGGUAAUUUGGACAUGAAAUUUUUGAAAUAUGUAGUGAUUAUAUAUGUGAUAAUAAUUAGUAAAUUAAUUUGCAUGCUUUAAGAAAAAAAAUAGAGUGGAAAACUUGUAUGAUAAGAAAAGAGAAAAACUAACCCUAGGGUAAGGAAAAUUUCCCUCCAUCAAUUAAAAGUUUUUUAGGAGAAAACAAGUUUUCCCUCAACUCAAGAUCAAUUCUCUCUUGCCCAAAUGAUCAAUUUUCUUAGUGAAAAUAAAAUGAAAGAAGGGAAAAAACAAUUGAAGUGGUAGAAUAGAAAAAUUAUCCCAUGGGAGAAAAUCUUCUCAUGAGCAAAAGAAAAUUUUUCCUCUAAAGAGAAUUAGGUUUUCCCUCGGCCAACAAAUUCUCUUGGGUAAAACAGCAUCCCAAGAGGAAGAAAAACAUUCCAAUAGGUAGAAAAACAUUCCAAGAGGGUUAGUAAAAUGAUAAAAAUCGAAAAAAAAAGAGAAUGAGAAUUAGGGUUAAGUUGGAGAAACAUCCUUCAUGAGGGAAAAAAAUGACUAUUGAGAGAGAAAUGUUUCUCUAAAAUAGGAAAAAUGUGGAAAUGUAGAAAAUGUGCAUUGAAUGAAGAGAAGACACAUGAGAAAAGAAAAUGGAACUAAAAGAAAAACAAUUGAUGAAAGAGAAAAAGAAGAGAAAUGGAUUUUCCCCUAGACAGGGAAAAAUUUUCCCCCUACUAGAGAAAAAAUUUUCUCUCAGCCAAAGUAAAAUUUUCUCAUGGCUAAAUGGCAUUUCCUAAUUAGUUAGAGACACGUGGACACAUUUUGGAACCUAAGAAGAUAGAUAGUGCUACCUAGGAUAAAUUUGAACACAUUAAAAAUUAGGUGUCCACAUUUGAAUUGAGAUUAGGACACCCCUUAACUAAGUAGCAACCUUAUGAGGAAAUGGAUAAAACUUAGACAGAAAUCCAUGCGAAACUUGAAAAAGGGAAGAGAAAACAACCAUGACAAGCCAUUAAAAUGAAAAGAAGGGAACAGUAAAAAAAUUGACCACACUUGGUCGACCAAACGAGGGGAAGGUAGCCAUUUUUCAGCUGGCCAAAAGGGGGGAGACCAACUAGCUUUGGCUAGCCAAGAAGACAGGAGAAAGAGCUAGCUAGGACGACUAGAAAAAAAAAGAUAAAGUAGGCCAUAUCAGCCUGCUUUUGUUGGUUAAAGGAAAGAGAAAGGGUAGUUGUUUCUAUUAGACGCAUGAGGCAAAUUUGUUACCUAUUUUGUCGACUGAAAAAGAAGAGAAAAAUGCCAAACUUUGUCAACAAGAAAAGGGUGAGGAUGCAACUAUGUCUUGACAAAAGUAAGGGGAAAUCAACUUAAUCAAGGCGUCAAAAAAAGAGAAGGAAACAAUCUAUGUUACCAGCCACUUGGAAGGGCAAAAAAGGAUUGGAGCUGAGGGAGAGCAAGCAAAUGAGGAGAGGUAAAGAAAAAGAGAGAAAGAUAAGAGAUUUGAGGGAGUGAUAUGUGAGGAGGCUAAGAAAUAGGUGAAAACUAAGGGAAAAAAAGGGGAAUUUUGAGGGAAAAUAAGAGAUGAAAUUAAGGAAGAGAAUGAGGAAUUUAGGGAAAAACGAAGGAAGGAAAAAAGUGAUAGAGGAAGAAGAAGGCAAGAAAUUAUGAGGGGUUCUGCUCGAAGCCGAUAAAGAAGCAAACAUAAUUCCAAAUUGAUUUUGAGGUAAAAAUAUGUAUUUUUUUUAUAGUUCUAGAAUUCGGGUUAUUUUAGCAUGAUAAACAAGUACUUUCUUGCUAAUUUAUGGAUAAAGAAGUUGGUUAAAAGCUCUUUAAAAUAGAGAGAAAAGCCACCAAACCUUAUAGGUGUAGGUUAUCCAGAAACUAUCUAGCCCAUAAGUUUUAAG